UCGGAUUUAUUAACGGCAGUGAAGGCAAACCCUGCAAAUUACUAACAUUUCUCUGUACUUCGUGCGAGGCGUCCGUUAAGUCAACAUAUUCAGUCAAAUCAACUGAUGUGUCAGUUGGUAUGAGGAGACAAAGAGGCACCGUCGACCCGUUUUGGUACGCAGAAGCAAUCACGUCACAGACAUCGGAUCUGUGUUCAUUACGCAGUGUAGUAAAUAUGUCAGUUUGAUGUAAUGCAUUAUUAGAACGUGAAUUAAAUUGACUGUUAUUGGAA
Long non-coding RNA from Drosophila innubila, 272 nucleotides. RefSeq lists it as uncharacterized. The transcript is spliced from 2 exons. The record is from RefSeq and is a predicted model, not a curated record. NCBI's taxonomy places the organism in Eukaryota, Metazoa, Arthropoda, Insecta, Diptera, Drosophilidae.